GACUUUCAAUUAAAAAUUGGUCAAAGUAAUGCAGUCCCUUCAUCUGAAUCAUUAUGGCAAUGGUGUUUAUCUUGCCUAAAUUUAAGGCAUGUCUAACCUCUUCAUGCAGAUUUGGGAGACUUAGUUAAUCGAUCUUAAGCUUUUGCAGAACCUUAGUAAUUUUACAUUUUACGAGUUUUCUAAUUUCAAGGUCACUGACAAUGGUUUGUACCAAUUCUGUAAUCGUGUUUGGAUGCCUACAGCAGUUAGGAUGGAUGUUCUAAAGGCAACCCAUGCAUCCAAGCUGUCUAUCUAUCUUGUAAGAACCAAAAUAUACUGUGACUUGAGGCACCAGUAUUAGUGGUCAGGAAUGAAAAAGGACAUUAUUGAA
RNAcentral lists this long non-coding RNA (370 nucleotides) under Carica papaya (papaya). RNAcentral describes it as "long non-coding RNA (CPAP_LNC008119)". Lineage: Eukaryota; Viridiplantae; Streptophyta; Magnoliopsida; Brassicales; Caricaceae. The record is from RNAcentral.